AGCAAAAACAUGCACGUAACACUGCUUUUUUCAUUCGUGAUCUCUUAGAAAUCAUUCCAGAGUAGGAAGAACACUCAGGACACUACCCCAAAAUACACACCUUGCUCUACUGAGUAUUUUACCCUGAAGGAAUUUGAGAAAUGUAAGUAGAGAAAGGACUCCCUGACAUUCCCCUGAGGCAAGUCAGGUGAUCCUCAUGUGAGAGGUACCCUCCCUGUUCCUGGAGGAAAAGAGCAUCCUUAUCUCUGGAGACAGGGGGACCCCAGAAAAAAUCUGAAUGCACAGAGCUUGCCAACUUUCCCCCAGUUUACUACUCUUCAUGCCUUUUUUGCCCUACCACACUUUUUGUUUGUUUGUUUGAAACGGAGUCUCGCUUUGUCACCCAGGCUGGAGGGCAGGGACGUGAUCUCGGCUCACUGCAGCCUCUGUCUCCCAGGUUCAAGCGAUUCCCCUGCCUCAGCUUCCCAAGUAGCUGGGAUUACAGGUGCGUGCCACCACACCCGGCUAUUUUUUUUUUUUUUUUUUUUUUUUUUUUUUUUUUUUUUUUUUUUUUUUGUAUUUUAGUAGAGACGGAGUUUCGACCAUGUUGGCCAGGAUGUUCUCAAUCUCCUAACCUCGUGACCCGCCGGCCUCGGCCUCCCAAAGCCCUGGGAUUACAGGUGUGCGCCGCCGCGCCUGGCCGCCCUGCCACAUUUGUCUGUAACUCGGCAUUCUCCGCCAAAUCGAGGCUAGAAGCCCUCAGGCUAACCAUUUCUUCAGGUCCUAAUUUCCUUAUGAAGGCUCCCAUGUCAGGUGAAAUUUAAAUAAGUGUGUAUGCUUUUCUCUUGUUCAUCUGGCUUUUAUUACAGGGUCCCAGCUGAGAACCUAGAGGGGUAGGAGGAACAUAUUUUCCCCCCACCUACAGCAGUGAUUUAAAGGGAUUCCUUUAUUCUCGUUUUCCUUUUACAGCUGCCUAGUGUCUCAUUGUAUAGAUGUGCUUCGUGGACAUUUUCUUUCCAGGCUUUUGCAAGCAAAGAGCAACUCGUUACCUUUACAAAAGCAAUGUUCAUGCAUGCAAGGAUAUCUGUAACACAAAGAAGUGGAUUUUCAAAGCAUUUCAAAAGCCCUCAUUUCUGGAGAAGUCCUGCCCCACACCCAGGAGGAAGGAAUGGUGCAGUGAGGCCGAGAAGGAUCUGGAGGCCAGACAGGCCCUGCUGGGUUCCCUACAGACCUCUCAUCGUUUGACCACACCCAUCAUCCGCUCCCAUUUCUGCAUGGCUGUUCACUUUUCAGUGUUCCCUGCGUCUUAGAUCUUUAUUGCUGAAGGCUCCGUGUCUCAUUAAACUUUGAUUACAUAAACUUGUGGCUGGGCACUGUGGCUGGCACCUGUAAUCCCAGCACUUUGGGAGGCCGAGGCAGGUGGAUCCCUUGAACCCAGGAAUUCAAGACCAGCCUGGGCAACAUGGGUGAAACCCCAUCUCUACUUUAAAAAAUAAAUAAGGCUGGGCGCGGUGGCUCACGCCUGUAAUCCCAGCACUUUGGGAGGCCGAGGCGGGUGGAUCACGAGGUCAAGAGAUCGAGACCAUCCUGGUCAACAUGGUGAAACCCCGUCUCUACUAAAAAUACAAAAAAUUAGCUGGGCAUGGUGGCGUGUGCCUGUAAUCCCAGCUACUCAGGAG
This is a long non-coding RNA of Callithrix jacchus (white-tufted-ear marmoset), 1658 nucleotides long. The record is from Ensembl. NCBI's taxonomy places the organism in Eukaryota, Metazoa, Chordata, Mammalia, Primates, Cebidae.